CGGGGGAUACUGCCAGACUUGGAACCGGGAGAGGUAAGAGGUACUACAGGGGUAGGAGUGAAAUCUUGUAAUCCCUGUGGGACCACCUGUGGCGAAGGCGUCUUAUCAGAACGGGUUCGACGGUGAGGGACGAAAGCUGGGGGCACGAACCGGAUUAGAUACCCGGGUAGUCCCAGCCGUAAACGAUGCUCGCUAGGUGUCAGGCAUGGCCGCGACCGUGUCUGGUGCCGCAGGGAAGCCGUGAAGCGAGCCACCUGGGAAGUACGGCCGCAAGGCUGAAACUUAAAGGAAUUGGCGGGGGAGCACAACAACGGGUGGAAGCCUGCGGUUUAAUUGGACUCAACGCCGGACUAACUCACCGGGGGGCGACAGCAAUAUGUAGGCCUAAGCUGAAGACUUUGCCUGAAUCGCUGAGGGGAGGUGCAUGG
RNAcentral lists this ribosomal RNA (428 nucleotides) under uncultured archaeon. RNAcentral describes it as "bacterial SSU rRNA". It matches the Rfam family "Archaeal small subunit ribosomal RNA", at positions 575 to 997 of the family's 1478-position model. The record is from RNAcentral.